RNAcentral lists this ribosomal RNA (440 nucleotides) under uncultured bacterium. RNAcentral's name for it is "partial 16S ribosomal RNA". It matches the Rfam family "Bacterial small subunit ribosomal RNA", at positions 338 to 795 of the family's 1533-position model. The record is from RNAcentral.
CCUACGGGGUGCAGCAGUAGGGAAUAUUGCUCAAUGGGGGAAACCCUGAAGCAGCAAAGCCGCGUGGAGGAUGAAGGUUUUCGGAUUGUAAACUCCUUUUGUUAGAGAAGAUAAUGACGGUAUCUAACGAAUAAGCACCGGCUAACUCCGUGCCAGCAGCCGCGGUAAUACGGAGGGUGCAAGCGUUACUCGGAAUUACUGGGCGUAAAGAGCGCGUAGGCGGGAUAGCAAGUCAGAUGUGAAAUCCUAGGGCUGAACCAUAGAACAGCAGUUGAAACUGUUAUUCUAGAGUAUGGGAGAGGUAGGUGGAAUUCUUGGUGUAGGGGUAAAAUCCGUAGAGAUCAAGAAGAAUACUCAUUGCGAAGGCGACCUGCUGGAACAUAACUGACGCUGAUGCGCGAAAGCGUGGGGAGCAAACAGGAUUAGAUACCCCUGUAGUC